Molecule: ribosomal RNA, 1642 nt
Filed under: Salmonella enterica
Lineage: Bacteria; Pseudomonadati; Pseudomonadota; Gammaproteobacteria; Enterobacterales; Enterobacteriaceae
Description: bacterial LSU rRNA
Rfam family: Bacterial large subunit ribosomal RNA
Source: RNAcentral
GUUGGGUAGGGGAGCGUUCUGUAAGCCUGCGAAGGUGGCCUGUGAGGGUUGCUGGAGGUAUCAGAAGUGCGAAUGCUGACAUAAGUAACGAUAAAGCGGGUGAAAAGCCCGCUCGCCGGAAGACCAAGGGUUCCUGUCCAACGUUAAUCGGGGCAGGGUGAGUCGACCCCUAAGGCGAGGCCGAAAGGCGUAGUCGAUGGGAAACGGGUUAAUAUUCCCGUACUUGGUGUUACUGCGAAGGGGGGACGGAGAAGGCUAUGUUGGCCGGGCGACGGUUGUCCCGGUUUAAGCAUGUAGGCGGAGGUUCCAGGUAAAUCCGGUACCUUAUUAACGCUGAGGUGUGAUGACGAGGCACUACGGUGCUGAAGCAACAAAUGCCCUGCUUCCAGGAAAAGCCUCUAAGCAUCAGGUAACAUCAAAUCGUACCCCAAACCGACACAGGUGGUCAGGUAGAGAAUACCAAGGCGCUUGAGAGAACUCGGGUGAAGGAACUAGGCAAAAUGGUGCCGUAACUUCGGGAGAAGGCACGCUGACACGUAGGUGAAGUGGUUUACCCAUGGAGCUGAAGUCAGUCGAAGAUACCAGCUGGCUGCAACUGUUUAUUAAAAACACAGCACUGUGCAAACACGAAAGUGGACGUAUACGGUGUGACGCCUGCCCGGUGCCGGAAGGUUAAUUGAUGGGGUCAGCGCAAGCGAAGCUCCUGAUCGAAGCCCCGGUAAACGGCGGCCGUAACUAUAACGGUCCUAAGGUAGCGAAAUUCCUUGUCGGGUAAGUUCCGACCUGCACGAAUGGCGUAAUGAUGGCCAGGCUGUCUCCACCCGAGACUCAGUGAAAUUGAACUCGCUGUGAAGAUGCAGUGUACCCGCGGCAAGACGGAAAGACCCCGUGAACCUUUACUAUAGCUUGACACUGAACAUUGAGCCUUGAUGUGUAGGAUAGGUGGGAGGCUUUGAAGCGUGGACGCCAGUCUGCGUGGAGCCGGCCUUGAAAUACCACCCUUUAAUGUUUGAUGUUCUAACGUGGACCCGUAAUCCGGGUUGCGGACAGUGUCUGGUGGGUAGUUUGACUGGGGCGGUCUCCUCCUAAAGAGUAACGGAGGAGCACGAAGGUUGGCUAAUCCUGGUCGGACAUCAGGAGGUUAGUGCAAUGGCAUAAGCCAGCUUGACUGCGAGCGUGACGGCGCGAGCAGGUGCGAAAGCAGGUCAUAGUGAUCCGGUGGUUCUGAAUGGAAGGGCCAUCGCUCAACGGAUAAAAGGUACUCCGGGGAUAACAGGCUGAUACCGCCCAAGAGUUCAUAUCGACGGCGGUGUUUGGCACCUCGAUGUCGGCUCAUCACAUCCUGGGGCUGAAGUAGGUCCCAAGGGUAUGGCUGUUCGCCAUUUAAAGUGGUACGCGAGCUGGGUUUAGAACGUCGUGAGACAGUUCGGUCCCUAUCUGCCGUGGGCGCUGGAAGACUGAGGGGGGCUGCUCCUAGUACGAGAGGACCGGAGUGGACGCAUCACUGGUGUUCGGGUUGUCAUGCCAAUGGCACUGCCCGGUAGCUAAAUGCGGAAGAGAUAAGUGCUGAAAGCAUCUAAGCACGAAACUUGCCCCGAGAUGAGUCUUCCCUGAGACUUUAAGUCUCCUGAAGGAACGUUGA